RNAcentral lists this unclassified non-coding RNA (3474 nucleotides) under Hevea brasiliensis (rubber tree). The record is from RNAcentral. Lineage: Eukaryota; Viridiplantae; Streptophyta; Magnoliopsida; Malpighiales; Euphorbiaceae.
UUUAAACUCAAUGUCAAACAAGUACUUGGUAUCUUUUGGUUUUUCUUCAUUUCUGGGCAUAAUAACAGGGCAGGUUAGGCUGCAGACAAUAAGUUGAUCGAACAUUCACUAAAUAAAACUUAAUUUAAACAGCAGAAAGAGGAUAGAACAGAGAAUCUACCACUAAAUUGAAUAAUAAUACACUACAGAAAUGAGCACAGCACAGAUGCACCAUGCUUAAUGUAUGACCGUCUGGAAAAUGAAGCUUAUUGUGCACGAACCAAACACAAGUUUAAUUCCAGAUGACCAAAACGCUCAGAACUUUUCCGGCCUAACUGAGUAUAAACUCUCAAUCAAUGACAAGGAAUGACGAUGCAUUUCAUACUGAGAAUUAUGCAAUAAUGUUUUCCAGGCAUGCCUACUUCCCAUGAGAAAUGAUUGCAGUUAUGGGGCUAAAUGUAUGCUCUAUACAAAUAUUGUACAUUUAACUGUUCCUGAAACAAGAUAAACGUAUAAUGAAUUCAACUUUUUUGCAGAAUCUUCUAUGAACUCCUCUUGGGCCAAGUACAACCAGCAAUGAGACUUCUGUCGUAGGUCUUGGCCACACACAACCUGAAGAGCGACAGAACCAGAACAAGCAAGGCCAAAACCCAUUUUUCUCAGUAUUCAGGUGUUUAAGGAUAGAUCUCCAGUUGACACCUCAAACAUCAAUUACAAGAGGAGGUAAUUUCCAGAAAUUCCAUGAAUUAUAAUCCUCCUGCUCAGACGAUGUCCUGGCUGGGAACAUGCCAUGCACAAGAGCAUGAAGGGAAGUAUAUGAUCUUGUGUCAACAAGGCGGUUCACGGCAACCUCACCCUUGGGAUUAAUGAUGAAGAUCUUUCCCUUUGGGAUUCCAACCUUUAGGUAGCUAAUCUCAUCAGUAUCUCUAUUACCAAAACCAGCAUAGAAAGGGUUGCAAUCAGAAGGAAACAAUUCCCUGAUUUCCUUCAGGCAUGCAAUCUUGAAUUCAUGAGGAGCCCUUCUAAUGACUUCACGAUAUAGAGAGGGGAAAAGUCCAUCAGGGGAUAUAACAACAGGACCAUCUGGCAGAGCUUUUCCAUCCUGCUUAAGGUUAACUAGGAACUGUCUAGUAAUAUAGGCUUGAGCAAUUGCACGUGCACUUAGAUAAAGGAAUUGAUACCCAUUAUCCUUAAUAGCUGAAAAUAAAUGUGCAACGCCAGUUUGUGACCAAUCUAUCCCAACCAAAGGCAUGAACUGACCUAGAACAUCUGAUUUUGUUAUUGUCCCAUCAACAUCUGAGAUCACUAUGCUAGUGUUCCAUUUCCACAAAUAAAUUCUAGCAUCAACCUUCUGCUUCCCCAGCAUUGCUGUGGAGAAGGUGAAUGUUACUGUAUUACUCCCUUCCUUCAGAUUCAAGGAUGCCAGCUCUUCCGAUGUUGGAGCAGUUGCCUUUAUCAUCUUGACUGAGGCCUUUCCUUCGAGCAUACUUUUAUCAUCAUCCAUGCAAAUGCUGCUGUCUGAAACAAUCAAAUCAUCAGAACUUCUGGUAUCACUUAGAGCUGGCUGCAUGGUCUUCCUGUAUCUUGAUCUUCCAAAUGGGAAAGGCCAAAGUCUCCAGCUUCCGCCAGUGGUAUUUUCUGAUGGAUACUCUACAGGAGAUUUCUCAACUCGAUCAACAGGUAUCAUGCCUUUUGGUUCAAAUAUGUUUUCAUUUCCAAAUGCUACCAGUCCUAAAACAAUAGGAGCAGCUACAUCCCAAGGAAAGUAAUGGCCACCAAUUCUAACAACAAGCCUUUCAUUCUUCACAACUGCAGGACCUAUAGAAGUAAAUUUUCUUAUAUCCAACUUUUCAGCAUCAAAUGCUUGAGAAGCAGCUUCAGUUCCCAUUCCUUCAUAUAAUGAGUGUUUGCAAAGAGAUAUCUCUGCAUACAGCACAAAGCAUGUGCCCAUCAAUUGGUUUCUGCAUAAGGAGUGUUUAACAACUACAACAAUCAACAAGCCCACCCUUUGCUCCACUGCAUUUUUUUUGCAGUUUAAAUGAAUAAUUUAGAGAUCAUUUUUAAAACUGAAAAAGAAACUGUUAGUAUAAGGAGGAAAUGUCAACAAAAAAAAAAUGUUGCAGAAUGGAAAUAAAAAAUAUAUUGCUGUGUGAACAGAGCAACAUAAUAUACACUAACAAAAGUUACUAAGAGAACCUAUGAUCCCUUUAAAAGAUUUGAAAAAGACAACAAGCUUUUGUAUCAGUACAUUGUCCAACCAAAAUGAAAUCAACGCAUGCCCACAAAAUAAGAGUGGUAUAAAAGCACUCCAAGUAUUCAUACCAACAGCAGGAUUGCUAACAUCAUUUUUGAUAUCUUCCAAAUGAUGAGUAUCUUCCUUAUUGGAAUAAUCCUCCACUGACUUAUUUUCAUUGCCUGUAACUGAACUUGUAAAGUGUGACUCAUUCUUGCUCUGCAAUUUCCACUCCAGGGAUUCAGAAUUCAAGUCCAGUGAAUGGCUUGGAAAGCUAGGGUCCUCUGCACCUAGAUUAUCAAUGUGGGACCUUAAAUCGAGUAAUGAUUCUGCCACCUGCACAACUUCUACAUCUGCAACGCUCUGUUGUUUAGGAAUACGAACAGGACUUGAUGUUAAAUUUGAAUUUUCUGUCAAGUUUUUGAAGUCACCCAAUCCAUUAUCUUGAACAAAGUUGUCCGGAGAAGAAUAAGAUUCAUCAUUUGUAUUUAGCAGCCCAUCCACUAUAUUAAUUCCUUCUGGACAAAAUGAGGAAUAAUUUUCUUUAUCAACAACAUCUGGAAAAUUUGAAUCACCCCGAGUUUCUUUGAGUUCAAAGUCAUCAAUAUCACUCAAGAAGAAUUUGUCUUCCCCUGAACUCCCAGACACUCGAAUUGUAGCUGCUUUUGUUGGGUUAAAAUCACCAUUAAGUUGUUCCAAAUCACCAGCUGACUCUAGAGAAGGUUGCAGUUCAUCCCUAGUAAUUUUAUCCCCAAUAUUCAUUUCAUCUUGAAUUUGAUCAACUGAAUUGCUAAAACUGGAAACAGGGCUAAUGCACUUUGACUCUACCUCAACUGAACCAAGAACAGAGUCAACAUGGACUGUUUGAGCACAGGAUGUUAACACUGUUAAUGGUACUUCAAGAUUUGCCUCAUCAUGGCCAGGUAUGGAAGAAGAAGAUGGAUUUGUUUCACAAGAUUCAAUGUGUCCUUGCUCCAACUCUAUAUCCUCAGCUUGCAGGUUAACUGUAUCCUGAAUGUAAAUUCUACCACUUCAGUGUCAACAGAAUCAGAAGUUAUCAAGUGCAUAUAAAUUAAAGAAACUGAUUAAUCUAAAGUUUAGGUACAACCUGAGCCAAGUUGAAUAUCUGCAGAGUUUCAGUUUCACUCAGCAAAGAAUGCAUAAGCACAAGCUUGGCUCAAGCUAAAUACAACCACAGCCAUAGUUACCUAAGCUCAGAUUGGCUCAUUGAUUGUUCCACAUGCAACCAAGCCAAGCUUGAC